RNAcentral lists this ribosomal RNA (253 nucleotides) under uncultured bacterium. RNAcentral's name for it is "partial 16S ribosomal RNA". It matches the Rfam family "Bacterial small subunit ribosomal RNA", at positions 524 to 776 of the family's 1533-position model. The record is from RNAcentral. RNAcentral also lists the same sequence under 1 other name.
UACGUAGGGACCGAGCGUUGUCCGGAAUCAUUGGGCGUAAAGAGCGUGUAGGCGGCCACUUAAGUCCUGCGUGAAAUCUUGCGGCUCAACCGCAAGCGGUCGUGGGAAACUGGGUGGCUAGAGUGCGGGAGAGGAGAGUGGAAUUCCUGGUGUAGCGGUGGAAUGCGCAGAUAUCAGGAAGAACACCCGUGGCGAAGGCGGCUCUCUGGAACGCAACUGACGCUGAGACGCGAAAGCGUGGGGAGCAAACAGG